AAGUGGAACCGGAGCCCGGGCGCGGGCGCCCACGUUCCAUUCCCGGGAAGGCCUGGGAAGGGAGGGAAUCGCUCACCCGCCAGCCCGCCUGCAGGGAAAGGGCUCCUGGAGCUGUCGAUGCCUGCCCGACGCUGAGAUAACUCUUGGGUCCCAGUUAUCCACCAGCCACUUCUGCCUCGAUUCACCAAAGGGCAGGGAAAGAACCUUUUGGUGAGAUGGUGUGAAUUAGCGACAUCCAGCCUGAGCUGAAGUCUCCAGCGGGUCAAAGAAAUCUUUCCAUUUGCAAACUACCAAGGCUGACUUGCUGUGCAUUUGGCGGGCCUCCUGCCCCUGAUUCUGCUGGUUUGGAGAUGCUUUCUCGCUCUUUGGUUGGCUUCUGUCUCCACACAUUGUGGGGAUCCCAGGGAUUCGUCAUAGGACUCUCGGAUCGCUGGUGCCUCCACUGUGAUCUCCGGUCUCCCUGCGGCCAGCACUGACUUCUAGCAACAGAAUCCUGCAUGAGGGCCUAGGCACAGAACUUUAUUUCCACUCUUCUGAACACAUCUAAUGUGAUGCUCUGCAAUUGUCUGAAAUUUAUCCUACCCUAAGUCAUUAUCUUGUCCCCUUCUCUGGAACCUGCUUCACUUCCCGUAUCCCAAGGUGAGGUUUGGGGCUUCGCUGUCCUCCUCACUUCCCAGGCCACUCUUCUUCAUGGAAGCCUCGCGGUUUACCCUCCACCGCCUACACCUUAUCUUCUUGUUACUUUUGCCCCACAGAUAUCACCCUGAUAUGAUCUCUGUUUCUCACUCCUGCUGGCUUGAUCUUAUGUCUUGCAUUAUUCCGCAUUAGAACAAUUGAUCCCUGUCAACUCCCAUCUCUAUUCUCCACGUCGGUGUCCUCACUAUUUCCAGGUUAUAUUGCAGAACCAAAGCUGCUUAUUUGUCACGUUGAUGCUUAGACACCUCUGUGGGCUUCUGGCAGCUGAAAGGAUAAAAUUUAAUUUCUGUGGUUUGGUUUAGUAAAUUCUCAUAAUCUGCUCCUGUAUUUGUUUGUUAGGGCUGCCAUAACAAAGUACCAGAGACUGGGUGGCUUAACAGAAAUUUAUUUGCUCACCUUGUCUCUACAAAAAAUACAAAAAUUAGCCAGGCUUUGCGGUGUGUGCCUUUGGUCCCAGCUAUUAGGGACGCUGAGGUGGGAGGAUCGCUUGAGCCCGGGAGGCAGAGGAUGUAGUGAGCCAAGAUCGGGCCACUGCACUCCAAGUGACAGAGUGAGACUCUGUCUCAUAAAGAAAGAAAGAGAGAGAGAGAAGAAAGAAAAAAAGAAGGAAGGAAGGAAAAAGAAAAGAAAAAUUGUAUUUUCUCACGAGGUGUUGGCAGAGUUGGUUUCUUCUGAGGCCUCUCUCCUUGGCUUGCAGAUGGCCCCGCUUUUGUGUCCUCACGCCGUCUUCCCUCUUCCCUCUGUAUGCGUCUGUGUCCUAAUUGUCUAUUCUUAUACAUCAUAUUGGAUUAGGGCCUACCCUCAUGACCUUGUUUUCACUUCAUUACUUCUGUAAAGACCCUGUCUCCAAGUAUGGUCAUGUUCUGAGGUAAUGGGGGUUAGGACUUCAACACAGAAAUUUUUGGGGGGACACAAUUUAGCUUUAACAGCUCUUAAUGUACUCCUCUAGCAUGGCAUCCCAUGCCAUCCAUCCACCUUAAUGAAUUAUUCAUUUGUUCUCUAGGCACAUAUAACAUGCUGCUAAUAUUUAGGUAAUUAUGGCUACCUAUUACCUGAUCCUGCAGUUUAUUAAUUUAGAUAUUCAUGUUCUUCUCUUAACUGUGAGCUUCUCAAAGGCAAGACUGGUGGGUCUGGAGCACAGCCCUAGCUCAUGCUAUUCAUCAGUUCAUUCUGAAGACAUUUCCUGUGCCCUGAAUUAAGGUCUGGGCAUGUAGAGAGGAGUAUGAUACAGCCUUGGCCCUCAAGAGGAGACAGACCAAAAAUGAGAGAUUACCAAGUGGGUUAAGGGUUAUGGUGCCUGUCAUCCAAGGAACUUCUGAAGCUGAAGAUGUCCUGAAUAGCACCAGCAGCACUGCAGAGUCGAAGGAUUCUUACAGACACAUUCCAACAGAGGAGAGCCAGGCCUGGAAAGAGAAUGCAGAAUCUGAGCCAAAGGGUCCUCUGGAGAAUAGGCCUAGUACAAUGUUUUCAAAUUGUGAUCAGAAGAUCUCCAGCAUCACUUGCAGCUCUUGCUAAAAAUAUAGAUACUGGGUCCACAUUCCAACCUUAUUGACUCAAAAUCUUCCGGAUUCCAGUCCUGAAAUUCUGAAUCUUCACAGGGGAUUCUCAGGCAUCCAAAGUUUGAGAAGCACCAAUGUGUUCCAAAUGGAAGAGGUUUCAUAAAUAUUUCCCCCACAUUUCUAUACUUCACUGUUAGCACUAGUGAGACAAUCAUCUGGAAUCCCAGACUUAGAAGAAAAUUCAGUGGUCUUUGAGUCAGGUUACUCUAUGCUUGUGCCUGCAGUCACUAAUUCGUUGUAAGGACCCUGGAGCCAGACUGCCUGGAUUCUGAUUUACUCACUACUUCCUAGCUGUGUGACCUUGGGAAAGUCACUUUAUCUCCUUGUACCACCAAAGAUGAGGAUAAUGAUAAUGCCUACCUCAUAGGGUUGUUGUGAGGAUUAGGUGAAUUAAUACAUGUGUUUUAGUCCAUUCGGGCUGCUAUAAAAAAUAUCAUGUAGUGGGUGGCUUAUAAACGAUGAACCUUUAUUUCUUACAGUUCUGGAAGCUGGACGGUCCAAGAUCAUGCUGCCAGCAGAUUUGUGGUCUGUACUUAUUUACUCAAGAACAUUGUAAAAUCAAUUUUUACCACUUGACAUCUGAAAUCAUUAGAAGAAAAUCUGGUGUUUUGGGCUUUAUGAGAAGAACUGCUAACCACACAUGAAUGCAGUAUGCUGCUACCACAAAUUACGCAGUUGAGUUUCCCACAUUUGGAGAAAUCACAGGGAUCAGCAAGUCUUCAGUGGAAUAGAGAAGCCUUGCCCUAGGGAAAACUACCCUUGUGGUCAUGGUAUCUACCCUGCCUGGUGAAGAAGGUCCUUGCUUCCCCUUCUCCUUCCGCCAUGAUUGUAAGUUUCCUGAGGCCUCCCCAGCCAUGUAGAACUGAUUUUUAUAAAUCUUGACCUUCAUAUUAUUGUACCAUUCAUGAUUUUGUGGUUUUAAAGGUGGCUUUUCUUUUCCUAAUUAUUUAUUGAAAAUCUUUAAUUCCUCCUGUGAAUUCUGCCAGCUCACUUUUCAUUUUUCCAUGGUCAUGUAUUUUAUUUUAUAUUUUUCAUUCUUUUUUAAAGUUAAAAUUAUUUUUAAAGGAUUUCUGUUCCUGGCUCUGAUGGAGCAACACGGACAGAUUUACCCUCUUACUUAAACAAAAUACAGACAAAAUUUAUAAAGGAUGGUUCUGAAACAUGGGACAACAGGCAGUAUAAACAGUAAUUUUUCAAAGAAGAUAAAAAAAGGAAGUAAACCCUAUGGUUUCUCUACUGAUUCCCUAGAAAGAGAUUUCAAGCUAUCAGUCUCACUCAAUUGAGAAGACAGAGUUCAUUGAGAAUUUGGGGAAAGUCAAAGUGGACAGAAUUCACAAAGAACUAAAAAAAAGAGUAUUGUGCAGAGAAAGAGCUCCAGCUACCUCCACAGAGUUUCCCUUGAGUUUUCAGAUCAUGCGUUUGGUGAACCCACCUGAGGCAAGGGAAAGAACUACCAGAAAGAAGCAGGUGGAAAAAUUCCUGAUGUUCACAUAGACCGGGAAAUUUCUCAAGUUUUUGUCAUCUGAAUUGAAGAAAUCUUAUACUGUAUGAGGUGUUGAAGAGAAUACUCAGAAGGACAAUGCCUCCGUAGUAGGACCAAACUAGCCUAGAGUAAAGGCUGGUCUGUCUUGUAUGACUCCUUGUGAAACUAUUCUGCUGAGUAUGUCACCAAUUUUCUUAGCGAAUCUAAGUGAUUCCAAGUAAUAAGUUGAAAUUUUCACUAUUUGUAUGUUUUUAUUGAUUAUUCAUUGUGGUUCUAAUAGUUUUUGGUUUAUAAUAUUUUGUUGGUCUGUUAUUUGCUGCAUAGUGGUUUAUGAUAGUUAUAUCUUUAUUGGAUCUUUAACAAUGUAGAAUAAGUUCUUUGUUUCAUUUCAUGUUAUUUGUUUCUAAAUUUUACUUCUUAUUUAACAGUAAUGUUGCAAAUCUUUAAAAAUGUUUUACUUUAUUUGUAAGGAAAACACCUAAAGCAAAGUGAAACAAUAAGUGAUGUAGGAUCUAUUAUUAUUAUUUUCCAUCAUGUGAAUCUUUGUCUUAACAGAGAGGCUUCGUCUAUUUAUAUUUGUUGUUACAAUUGAUUUCUUUCAUCAUUCUGUUAUUUCAGUGUUUCUCUUGAAAAAUAGGUUCUUGUUAUUCAAUGAUUUAGUUUUCACUUUAUGUAUCGUUUUCUUUAUUUUGUCCUUCAUAUUUUGCAAGCUAUAUAGCCUCUGUUAAAUUCCAUUAAUGGAUAUCUUUAAGCACUCUUUGACAUGUAAUUUUCUAAUGUCUCAGUAAAUAAAGAAUUUGUCAACAUAAAAUGUGUGUGUAGGCCAGGUGCGGUGGCUCAUGCCUGUAAUCCCAGAACUUUGGGAGGCCAAGGUGGGUGGAUCACCUGAGGUCAGGAUUUUGAAACCAGCCUGACCAACAUGGCGAAACCCCGUCUCUACUAAAAGAAUACAACACUUAGCCGGACGUGGGGG
RNAcentral lists this long non-coding RNA (4711 nucleotides) under Homo sapiens (human). Its description in RNAcentral is "non-protein coding lnc-ABCG2-3:3". The record is from RNAcentral. Lineage: Eukaryota; Metazoa; Chordata; Mammalia; Primates; Hominidae.